Ruditapes philippinarum (Manila clam) is the source of this 1101-nucleotide long non-coding RNA. RefSeq lists it as uncharacterized. The record is from RefSeq and is a predicted model, not a curated record. NCBI's taxonomy places the organism in Eukaryota, Metazoa, Mollusca, Bivalvia, Venerida, Veneridae. The transcript has 3 exons.
GAAAAGCAAAUGAUAUGUGGAAAUUGGCAGUUUUUUGUUUUUGUAACGAAAUGCAAAUGGGUUUCAUCUUGUGAACAAGUAUCAAUGAAAGACAACUUCGUAUAAUCUUCAGAUAUUUUGACUGAGGACAGUGGUGAGAUGAAAGACGUCAGUAUCCAUUGUAAAUACACAUGCAUGCUCUGCUGUAAAAUCGUUUUGGUAUGUGAUUUCAUGGUUGGAUCUUGAGUACUUGUCAUGGCUCUUGAUUCAUUUUGGAGUGUUCACCAUCAGAUUAGAAAUCAAAUAGUGAUACCACCAGGCAUAGUUGAAAGGAAAUGUCCAUACACAGACUUGGAGUACAUAGUGGUAGAGACAUGGCAGUCCAUUACAGAUUUUGACUGAAUUAAAUUAGCUUCUUAAAGCUCCAUGCCUUGUGUAAACUGUCUGACUGAAUGUUUGUAUUCUAAUAAAAACUAAGGUUGAAGACACUUCAAAGAUGUAUGUCAGUGUAAAAAUGUUAAACAAAAUAUCUGUCUUUGUUAGAAAUAAAUAUCCUGUCUUUAUUAGAAAUAAAUAACCUGUCAUUUGUAACUUUGUAUUAACUUAAUUAUUCAAAGAUAAUUUAUCUUCUGCAAAUAGCUGCCCAAAACAGUUUCAACCAAGCAUCAUGUAGUUUCAAAACAGUUAAGAUAAAUUUGUUAUAAAUAGACUUGUAAAUUAACAGGAAUGGUAAAAAGAUAAAUGUUUAGCAUUAAAAUGUUUCUAUCUUGAUUGAGUUUCAUUUCAUAAUUAUUAUCACCAUGAUCACUGCAAUUGUAAAAGUAAUGUAAUCUUUAACCAUUAUUUAAAUAUCAUAAAAAUCAUCUCAAAGAAAAACUUGUUUCUGAGGCAAGAUGUGUAAAAUUCCUUCCAGUUAUAGCCUUUCACUGCUCUUAGAAAAGCCAUUAUUUGCAUUGUUCAUGGCAGGUAGUAAUACCAGAGUAAACAAUAUUAAUGCAAUUCAUCUGUGUUGAGUAUUCUGUAGCAAAACACUAGCUUGCUAGCCCUUGUAAGCCCAAGUCUCUCUCUUAAUUGGAGAAGACUUGCAAUUCUGCAUUCCUUGAAGAUUUUAGUAUCAGAGGG